RNAcentral lists this ribosomal RNA (468 nucleotides) under uncultured bacterium. Its description in RNAcentral is "partial 16S ribosomal RNA". It matches the Rfam family "Bacterial small subunit ribosomal RNA", at positions 28 to 507 of the family's 1533-position model. The record is from RNAcentral.
GACGAACGCUGGCGGCGUGCUUAACACAUGCAAGUCGAACGGAAAGGCCCUGCUUUUGUGGGGAGCUCGAGUGGCGAACGGGUGAGUAACACGUGAGUAACCUGCCCUUGACUUUGGGAUAACUUCAGGAAACUGGGGCUAAUACCGGAUAGGAGCUCCUGCUGCAUGGUGGGGGUUGGAAAGUUUCGGCGGUUGGGGAUGGACUCGCGGCUUAUCAGCUUGUUGGUGGGGUAGUGGCUUACCAAGGCUUUGACGGGUAGCCGGCCUGAGAGGGUGACCGGCCACAUUGGGACUGAGAUACGGCCCAGACUCCUACGGGAGGCAGCAGUGGGGAAUAUUGCACAAUGGGCGGAAGCCUGAUGCAGCAACGCCGCGUGCGGGAUGACGGCCUUCGGGUUGUAAACCGCUUUCGCCUGUGACGAAGCAUGAGUGACGGUAAUGGGUAAAGAAGCACCGGCUAACUACGUG